Molecule: ribosomal RNA, 254 nt
Filed under: uncultured bacterium
Lineage: Bacteria
Description: partial 16S ribosomal RNA
Rfam family: Bacterial small subunit ribosomal RNA
Source: RNAcentral
UACGUAGGGUGCGAGCGUUGUCCGGAAUUAUUGGGCGUAAAGAGCUCGUAGGCGGUGUGUCACGUCGGCCGUGAAAACCUGCAGCUUAACUGUGGGCGUGCGGUCGAUACGGGCAUCACUGGAGUUCGGCAGGGGAGACUGGAAUUCCUGGUGUAGCGGUGAAAUGCGCAGAUAUCAGGAGGAACACCGGUGGCGAAGGCGGCAUCCUGGACCAACACUGACGCUGAGGAGCGAAAGCCAGGGGAGCAAACGGG